RNAcentral lists this unclassified non-coding RNA (1374 nucleotides) under uncultured Neocallimastigales. Its description in RNAcentral is "partial contains small subunit ribosomal RNA, internal transcribed spacer 1, 5.8S ribosomal RNA, internal transcribed spacer 2, and large subunit ribosomal RNA". The stretch from base 607 to 1374 matches the Rfam family "Eukaryotic large subunit ribosomal RNA", at positions 1 to 626 of the family's 3401-position model. The record is from RNAcentral. Lineage: Eukaryota; Fungi; Neocallimastigomycota; Neocallimastigomycetes; Neocallimastigales.
UUUCCGUAGGUGAACCUGCGGAAGGAUCAUUAAAAAAUGUGGUACCGAUUGUUGGUACUAAUUAAUCAUCCUACCCUUUGUGAAUUUGUUUGUAACGAAUUUUUUAAAUGGGUCUUUCCCUAAGUUGGAUUGUAGUAAAAUACAAAAAGACUUAGGGGAAUGACUUUUUUAAAAGACUUUUUUUUAAUUAAAACUUUUUGUAUUCAUUUGUCUAAAAUUUAUUUUUAUAAUAUAAAAACAACUUUUGACAAUGGAUCUCUUGGUUCUCGCAACGAUGAAGAACGCAGCAAAAUGCGAUAAGUAGUGUGAAUUGCAGAAUACGUGAAUCAUCGAAUCUUCGAACGCAUAUUGCACUUUUUUAGUUUACUAAAAAAGUAUGUCUGUUUGAGUAUCAGUAAAAUAUUCUCACAAAACAAUUGUUUUUUGUGGUUAUGAGUGUUUUACAACGAUAAACAAGUUGUUUCACUUUAAAUUCUUUUUAAUUGAAUUUUACCAAUUCAUAAAUUUAAAAUUGGAUAAAAUUUUCCUUUAACGAGGAAUAACCUAAACAAUUUUAAAUUUUUAUGGAUUGUAAAAUUCAUAAAGGAAUCUAUACAACAAAUAACUUGAUCUCAAAUCAGAUAAGAGCACCCGCUGAACUUAAGCAUAUCAAUAAGCGGAGGAAAAGAAACUAACAAGGAUUCCCUUAGUAACGGCGAGUGAAGCGGGAAGAGCUCAAAUUUGAAAUCUUCAAGGUUUGACCUUGACGAAUUGUAGUUUAUAGAAGUGUUUUCUGUUGGAGUUUUGGUAAAAGUUCUUUGGAAUAGGACAUCAUAGAGGGUGAGAAUCCCGUAUUUGACCAUGACUUUCCAGCUGUGUGAUACACUUUCAAAGAGUCGGAUUGUUUGGGAAUGCAGUCCAAAAUGGGUGGUAAAUUUCAUCUAAAGCUAAAUAUUGGCGAGAGACCGAUAGCGAACAAGUACCGUGAGGGAAAGAUGAAAUGAACUUUGAAAAGAGAGUUAAACAGUACGUGAAAUUGUCGAAAGGGAAGCGUUUGACACCAGUGUUGUUUCUCGAAAAUCAAUUUAAUGAGUUCUUGUUUUUAAGUUAUUGAGACUUUAUCAGCGCAUUUCUUAUUUUACUUGACUCAUUGAAUGCACUUUUCGUUUAACAAGUCAACAUCAAUUUCUUUGGUGGUAAAAAGUUUAAAGGAAGGUGGCUUGGGCUUCGGUUCAAGUGUUUAUAGCCUUUUUUCUAUGCCAUCGGAGAGAUUGAGGUCUGCAGCGUAGAUCCUCGGGGUUAGAUACCUUUGUGCUAAGUUAUAGUUUUUUAUAGACAACUUGUUGACUAUAAUUAACCCUGUAAUUUACUCGCUUAGGCUAUUUUACCUACGCU